CAGCGUCCCGGAAAGAUCACGCCCUUUUGCAAGACGCGGAAACCAAGGCUCCUGGCUGCAAGAUCUGGAGUUGGGGAUGCUCAGGGCAGGAUGGGAGACCUCAGUUCCUCUGCCUGUCUACAUGCUGGAGGCCCCGAUAUGGAAUAAACUGUAUUUAUGCCUCCGGGACCUCAGGAACUCAGCUGGCUGAGAUGACCACCACCUUCAGAGGAGGCUCACAGGGGAGAAGCGCUGAAAUCUAUUAUUUGGGGCCAAUAAAGAUUUGGCCUUUGCCACCUGACCUCUGUCUUCAUCAAUCUGGAGAGUUCACCACCCUCCCAGCCCCCUCCCACAGGGCUUCCGGGAAGCCUUCCUGCUCCUCUGCCUAACGAGACUAUGCCCACCCGAGUGGCCCAGUCAU
Molecule: long non-coding RNA, 400 nt
Organism: Phacochoerus africanus (Common warthog)
Lineage: Eukaryota; Metazoa; Chordata; Mammalia; Artiodactyla; Suidae
Exons: 3
Source: RefSeq, a predicted model, not a curated record